CCUACGGGAGGCUGCAGUGAGGAAUAUUGGUCAAUGGGCGGGAGCCUGAACCCGCCACGUCGCGUGAGGGAAGACGGUCCUAUGGAUUGUAAACCUCUUUAGGCGGGGAGCAAUGCCGGGCACGCGUGCCCGGCGGGAGAGUACCCGCCGAAUAAGCAUCGGCUAACUCCGUGCCCGCCGCCGCGGUAAUACGGGGGAUGCGCGCGUUAUCCGGAUGUAUUGGGUUUAACGGGUGCGUAGGCGGAUUUUUAAGUCAGCGGUAAAAUGUCCGGGCUCAACCCGGGCCGGCCGUUGAAACUGGGGAUCUUGAGUGGGCGAGAAGUAUGCGGAAUGCGUGGUGUAGCGGUGAAAUGCAUAGAUAUCACGCAGAACGCCGAUUGCGAAGGCAGCAUACCGGCGCCCGACUGACGCUGAGGCACGAAAGCGUGGGGAUCGAACAGGAUUAGAUACCCGUGUAGUC
Molecule: ribosomal RNA, 460 nt
Filed under: uncultured bacterium
Lineage: Bacteria
Description: partial 16S ribosomal RNA
Rfam family: Bacterial small subunit ribosomal RNA
Source: RNAcentral